AAAUGUCUAGAACACAAGGUCUGC
This 24-nucleotide non-coding RNA is filed under the name Arabidopsis thaliana (thale cress). The record is from RNAcentral. Lineage: Eukaryota; Viridiplantae; Streptophyta; Magnoliopsida; Brassicales; Brassicaceae.